RNAcentral lists this ribosomal RNA (169 nucleotides) under Hypsophrys nicaraguensis. RNAcentral describes it as "partial 12S rRNA". The record is from RNAcentral. Lineage: Eukaryota; Metazoa; Chordata; Actinopteri; Cichliformes; Cichlidae.
CACCGCGGUUAUACGAGAGGCCCAAGUUGACAGGCACCGGCGUAAAGAGUGGUUAAGGAAAACAUUUAACUAAAGCCGAACACCUUCAGAGCUGUCAUACGCUUCCGAAGGCAAGAAGCCCCACCACGAAAGUGGCUUUACUUUCCCCGACCCCACGAAAGCUGUGGAA